AUGGCUCCAGCUCGAGUUGUCGCCGUAAUGCUGCUGGCGGUUGGCAGUGUGCUGCUGUCUGUGGCUGCGGACACCGCAACUGUGCCAUCCCCAGAACCGUUCAUCUGGAAGAAGGCGCAUGCGACAUUCUACGGUGGCGCUGACGCCUCCGACACAAUGGGUGGUGCGUGCGGGUAUGGCAACCUCUUCUCCGAAGGAUACGGGACACGCACGGCCGCUUUGAGCACCGUGUUGUUUAAUGAUGGCGCCGCGUGCGGGCAGUGUUACAAGAUUGCAUGCGACCGCAAGCGUGCAGACCCGUUGUUUUGCAAGCCCGGCGUUACGGUCACCGUCACUGCCACAAACUUCUGUCCGCCCAACAACGCCCUCCCCAAUGAUGAUGGCGGCUGGUGCAACACGCCAAGGCCGCACUUUGAUAUGGCCCAACCAGCCUGGGAGAAGAUCGGUGUUUAUAAAGGUGGCAUCAUCCCCGUCAUGUACCAAAGAGUUCCGUGCGUGAAGCGGGGUGGUGUGAGGUUCAAAAUCAAUGGUCACGAUUACUUCAAUCUUGUGCUUGUGAGCAAUGUUGCUGCAGCAGGAUCGAUCAAGUCCAUGGAUGUCAAGAGCUCUGAUUCUGAUGACUGGAUGCCUAUGGCACGCAAUUGGGGCGCUAACUGGCACUCGUUGGUGAACCUGACUGGAAAGAUGCUCUCUUUCAGACUAACAAACACUGAUGGACACACUAUUGUGUUUAACGACGUUGUGCCAAAGGGGUGGACCUUCGGGCAAUCCUUUGUUAGCAAAUUGCAAUUCUAG
This 795-nucleotide ribosomal RNA is filed under the name Triticum aestivum (bread wheat). RNAcentral's name for it is "partial small subunit ribosomal RNA". Lineage: Eukaryota; Viridiplantae; Streptophyta; Magnoliopsida; Poales; Poaceae. The record is from RNAcentral.